This is a long non-coding RNA of Gavialis gangeticus (Gharial), 1101 nucleotides long. RefSeq lists it as uncharacterized. The record is from RefSeq and is a predicted model, not a curated record. NCBI's taxonomy places the organism in Eukaryota, Metazoa, Chordata, Crocodylia, Gavialidae. The transcript is spliced from 2 exons.
CGUGUCCGUGUCCGGCCGACUAACCCGGGUGUUUUCCCGUCCUAGGCGUCUCCGGGACAGCGGAGCGGAGCGGAGCGGGCCGGCCGAGCGACCGCAGCCUCCUGCGUUCUUGUCCUUGUUUCUGCGCUCAAAGUGACCGGAAAAGGAGGAGGGCAGCUGCAGCUCCUGGGGUCAGAGGUGCUACCGCAGCCCGCCCCUCCCCGUGGCAGCUCCUGGGGUCAGCAGCAAAGCCAGAGCAAGGAGCCGGCCGCACUCUUACUCCUGGCCUUUCCCACGGCCACAGGCAGCUCAGCGCCGGGGUAAAGCCACAGCCGCUCAGGGCAGAACACGAGGGGAAGAGCGCUGCAGAAGUUGGCGGAGGAGAGGAGACAGAUUUGUCCCUCGCCCUGGUGACAGGCGAGUAUUAAUUGGGGGGGGGCAGGGAGAGGACUUCCCACUUCCGCUUGGUGCAGAAGGGCAGGGGGACGGAGCCUGCCGGGUGAUCCGAACUGUCCUGCAGUUGUCCCGCUGCACAAGCACUGAAAUCGGGGGAGCUGACUACAGACGGCUGAGACGAUUGCAGAGAGUGGUGACAAACGGCAGACCGUGCGUGCUGUGUGACUAGGCACACGUUGGCUCUAGAUGCUGCCUAGGAAAUUCGGCUGUCCUGGAAAGAGUUAUUGUGCUGUUGGGGGGAAUGAUGUUCCAUUAUUAAAGUGUGUAUAAAAAAAAAAAAAAGAGAGGAAAUUUUAAUCCUGUUUAAGUGGAAAUCUCAACUAUGCAUCACUGUGGUUGUCUCCAUUUUAUUUAUAUGCUCGCAUGCACCUUCAUGGGUAUAAAUACCCAGUAUCUUUUGUGUGGGUCUCUUGAAUGUGCUUAACAGCAGGGAGGUCUCCAGCCUCUAGUCAGCCUUGAAAAGAGCGUAGGUAUUUUCAUCCAGUAAGAGCUGGCCGAACACUUUGGUCACUGGAUCAAGUAGUACGACACAUUUCACCUCUGUCUGGUCUCAGAUGUGUGUGUUCGCAAUUCCACCAUUGCACUGGUGGAGCAAACGCUGGAUACAGCGUUAUACAACUUGAGACUGAACUUACUUAGUGAGCUAACUUUUCUUUAACAAACUGG